UUCCCGGGCCUUGUACACACCGCCCGUCACACCACGAAAGUUGGCAAUACCCGAAGCCGGUGGCUUAACCCGCAAGGGAGGGAGCCGUCUAAGGUAGGGUCGAUGAUUGGGGUG
RNAcentral lists this ribosomal RNA (114 nucleotides) under uncultured bacterium. RNAcentral describes it as "partial 16S ribosomal RNA". It matches the Rfam family "Bacterial small subunit ribosomal RNA", at positions 1371 to 1482 of the family's 1533-position model. The record is from RNAcentral.